GGGCCAUGGCUCAGUGGUAGAGCAUCUCUUUUGUAUGUAGAUGGUCCCAUGUUAAAUCCCUAGCAUCUCCA
Podarcis lilfordi (Lilford's wall lizard) is the source of this 71-nucleotide non-coding RNA. NCBI's taxonomy places the organism in Eukaryota, Metazoa, Chordata, Lepidosauria, Squamata, Lacertidae. The record is from the annotation of a GenBank genome assembly.